UGGGGAAUAUUGGACAAUGGGGGGAACCCUGAUCCAGCCAUGCCGCGUGUGUGAAGAAGGCCUUUUGGUUGUAAAGCACUUUAAGCGAGGAGGAGGCUACUAGUAUUAAUACUACUGGAUAGUGGACGUUACUCGCAGAAUAAGCACCGGCUAACUCUGUGCCAGCAGCCGCGGUAAUACAGAGGGUGCGAGCGUUAAUCGGAUUUACUGGGCGUAAAGCGUGCGUAGGCGGCUGAUUAAGUCGGAUGUGAAAUCCCUGAGCUUAACUUAGGAAUUGCAUUCGAUACUGGUCAGCUAGAGUAUGGGAGAGGAUGGUAGAAUUCCAGGUGUAGCGGUGAAAUGCGUAGAGAUCUGGAGGAAUACCGAUGGCGAAGGCAGCCAUCUGGGCCUAAUACUGACGCUGAGGUACGAAAGCAUGGGGAGCAAACAGGAUUAGAUACCCUGGUAGUCCAUGCCGUAAACGAUGUCUACUAGCCGUUGGGGCCUUUGAGGCUUUAGUGGCGCAGCUAACGCGAUAAGUAGACCGCCUGGGGAGUACGGUCGCAAGACUAAAACUCAAAUGAAUUGACGGGGGCCCGCACAAGCGGUGGAGCAUGUGGUUUAAUUCGAUGC
RNAcentral lists this ribosomal RNA (612 nucleotides) under uncultured Acinetobacter sp. Its description in RNAcentral is "bacterial SSU rRNA". It matches the Rfam family "Bacterial small subunit ribosomal RNA", at positions 355 to 957 of the family's 1533-position model. Lineage: Bacteria; Pseudomonadati; Pseudomonadota; Gammaproteobacteria; Moraxellales; Moraxellaceae. The record is from RNAcentral.